CGCCAUGGCUUAGUGGUAAAGCGUCUGUCUUGUAAACAGGAGAUCCUGGGUUCGAUCCCCAGUGGUG
Molecule: non-coding RNA, 67 nt
Organism: Ciona savignyi (Pacific transparent sea squirt)
Lineage: Eukaryota; Metazoa; Chordata; Ascidiacea; Phlebobranchia; Cionidae
Source: Rfam